UAGGGAAUCUUCCGCAAUGGGCGAGAGCCUGACGGAGCAACGCCGCGUGAGUGAUGAAGGUCUUCGGAUCGUAAAACUCUGUUAUUAGGGAAGAACAAAUGUGUAAGUAACUAUGCACGUCUUGACGGUACCUAAUCAGAAAGCCACGGCUAACUACGUGCCAGCAGCCGCGGUAAUACGUAGGUGGCAAGCGUUAUCCGGAAUUAUUGGGCGUAAAGCGCGCGUAGGCGGUUUUUUAAGUCUGAUGUGAAAGCCCACGGCUCAACCGUGGAGGGUCAUUGGAAACUGGAAAACUUGAGUGCAGAAGAGGAAAGUGGAAUUCCAUGUGUAGCGGUGAAAUGCGCAGAGAUAUGGAGGAACACCAGUGGCGAAGGCGACUUUCUGGUCUGUAACUGACGCUGAUGUGCGAAAGCGUGGGGAUCAAACAGG
This 429-nucleotide ribosomal RNA is filed under the name Actinomycetes bacterium. Its description in RNAcentral is "Actinobacteria bacterium partial 16S ribosomal RNA". It matches the Rfam family "Bacterial small subunit ribosomal RNA", at positions 355 to 776 of the family's 1533-position model. The record is from RNAcentral. Lineage: Bacteria; Bacillati; Actinomycetota; Actinomycetes.